UACGGGGGGGGUAAGCGUUGUUCGGAAUUACUGGGCGUAAAGGGCUCGUAGGCGGCCAACUAAGUCAGACGUGAAAUCCCUCAGCUUAACUGGGGAACUGCGUCUGAUACUGGAUGGCUUGGAUUCGGGAGAGGAAUGCGGAAUUCCAGGUGUAGCGGUGAAAUGCGUAGAUAUCUGGAGGAACACCGGUGGCGAAGGCGGCAUCCUGGACCAAUAUUGACGCUGAGGAGCGAAAGCUAGGGGAGCAAACGGG
This 253-nucleotide ribosomal RNA is filed under the name uncultured bacterium. RNAcentral's name for it is "partial 16S ribosomal RNA". It matches the Rfam family "Bacterial small subunit ribosomal RNA", at positions 524 to 776 of the family's 1533-position model. The record is from RNAcentral.